CCUACGGGCGGCAGCAGUAAGGAAUAUUGGUAAAUGGACGCAAGUCUGAACCAGCCAUGCCGCGUGGAGGAUGAAGGCCCUUGGGUUGUAAACUUCUUUUAUCGGAGAAGCGGUACCCGAUGAAUAAGCACCGGCUAACUCCGUGCCAGCAGCCGCGGUAAUACGGAGGGUGCAAGCGUUAUCCGGAUUCACUGGGUUUAAAGGGUGCGUAGGCGGGUUGGUAAGUCAGUGGUGAAAUCUUCAAGCUUAACUUGGAAACUGCCGUUGAUACUAUCAAUCUUGAAUGUUGUGGAGGUAAGCGGAAUAUGUCAUGUAGCGGUGAAAUGCUUAGAUAUGACAUAGAACACCGAUAGCGAAGGCAGCUUGCUACCAAAAUUGACGCUGAGGCACGAAAGCGUGGGGAUCAAACAGGAUUAGAUACCCUUGUAGUC
Molecule: ribosomal RNA, 431 nt
Filed under: uncultured bacterium
Lineage: Bacteria
Description: partial 16S ribosomal RNA
Rfam family: Bacterial small subunit ribosomal RNA
Source: RNAcentral